GAUGAACGCUGGCGGCGUGCCUAAUACAUGCAAGUCGAGCGAACAGAUGAGGAGCUUGCUCCUCUGACGUUAGCGGCGGACGGGUGAGUAACACGUGGAUAACCUACCUAUAAGACUGGGAUAACUUCGGGAAACCGGAGCUAAUACCGGAUAAUAUAUUGAACCGCAUGGUUCAAUAGUGAAAGACGGUUUUGCUGUCACUUAUAGAUGGAUCCGCGCCGCAUUAGCUAGUUGGUAAGGUAACGGCUUACCAAGGCGACGAUGCGUAGCCGACCUGAGAGGGUGAUCGGCCACACUGGAACUGAGACACGGUCCAGACUCCUACGGGAGGCAGCAGUAGGGAAUCUUCCGCAAUGGGCGAAAGCCUGACGGAGCAACGCCGCGUGAGUGAUGAAGGUCUUCGGAUCGUAAAACGCUGUUAUUAGGGAAGAACAAAUGUGUAAGUAACUAUGCACGUCUGGACGGUACCUAAGCAGAAAGCCACGGCUAACUACGU
RNAcentral lists this ribosomal RNA (496 nucleotides) under uncultured bacterium. Its description in RNAcentral is "partial 16S ribosomal RNA". It matches the Rfam family "Bacterial small subunit ribosomal RNA", at positions 28 to 506 of the family's 1533-position model. The record is from RNAcentral.